Long non-coding RNA from Drosophila subpulchrella, 317 nucleotides. RefSeq lists it as uncharacterized. The record is from RefSeq and is a predicted model, not a curated record. The transcript is spliced from 2 exons. NCBI's taxonomy places the organism in Eukaryota, Metazoa, Arthropoda, Insecta, Diptera, Drosophilidae.
GGAGCAUUAAUAAAAUAACCAACUAAACAAAAUUAAUCAAGCCAACAAAAACAAAUUGGUUUCAAGUUUAAACUUUUUACGCGGAGUAUAAAAAAUAAAAGAAAGGCAAAAUGAGUCAAGCUUGCUUCCUUUUGCUGAUUUUGUUGUUUGGAUUCUUAGCUUUCUGUGCGGGACAACCUUACUAUAAAAGGACAACGACGACCACCAUGGACACAUUGCAAUCCUUAGCUAAACUUUUGUAUAGCAUUUUUGGUGGUCUUAACUGGGGUUAAUUUGACCAAAAUGUAUUCCUUUAAAAUAGAGCUUCUUGUUAACGA